RNAcentral lists this ribosomal RNA (844 nucleotides) under Microsporidium sp. BCAN1 CAN. RNAcentral's name for it is "SSU rRNA". It matches the Rfam family "Microsporidia small subunit ribosomal RNA", at positions 1 to 788 of the family's 1311-position model. The record is from RNAcentral. Lineage: Eukaryota; Fungi; Microsporidia.
CACCAGGUUGAUUCUGCCUGACGUGGAUGCUAGUUUCUGAGGUUAAGCCAUGCAUGUUUUAGAAGCGAAUAUAUUGCGGAUUGAUAGACGGCUCAGUAAUACUGCGAUGAUUUGAUUGAUUUGAGAUGUGUAACUACGGGAAACUGUAGGUAGACGCUUGUAGUGUAUGUUAUUAUUAUGUACAUGUGUUGAGUAAGUUGCAGGCCUAUCAACUGGUAGUUAGGGUAAUGGCCUAACUAGGUGGUGACGGGAGACGGGGGAUUAGGGUUUGAUUCCGGAGAGGGAGCCUGAGAGAUGGCUACUACGUCCAAGGAUGGCAGCAGGCGCGAAACUUGCCUAAUCUUUGUAGUAGGAGGCAGUGAUGAGACGUGAUGUGAUUUGUGGUGCAUUGUAAAGAGAUGUACUGGUAUUGGAGGGCAAGUCGGGUGCCAGCAGCCGCGGUAAUACCUGCUCCGAUAGUGUCUAUGGUUAAUGCUGCAGUUAAAAAGUCCGUAGUUUUGAUGAUUGGCUGUAAUGGUUAUGAAGUAUGUUUUGUGAUGCCUGUGGUACUUGCGGGCUAUGGAUGUACUUUAAGUUGUGCGCAACGGAUGAGGGGCAUUGGAUAGUUGGGCGAGAGGUGAAAUGUGAUGACCCUGACUGGACGAACGGAAGCGAAAGCGAUGCUCUUGGAUGGAUGUGUGGAUCAAGGACGAAGGCUGGAGGAUCGAAAUCGAUUAGAUACCGUUUUAGUUCCAGCAGUAAACGAUGCCGACUGGAUGGUGUUUGAUAGCACUGUGCGAGAGAAAUUGAUGAGUAUAUGGGUUUUGGGGAUAGUAUGUUCGCAAGAGUGAAACUUAAAGAGAUU